Dendronephthya gigantea is the source of this 336-nucleotide long non-coding RNA. RefSeq lists it as uncharacterized. NCBI's taxonomy places the organism in Eukaryota, Metazoa, Cnidaria, Anthozoa, Malacalcyonacea, Nephtheidae. The record is from RefSeq and is a predicted model, not a curated record. The transcript is spliced from 3 exons.
UCAAGUUUGGAUUAAGAUCGUGUUAAGAAAAAUAAUAUAUCCUAUAUUUAAAUAUAUUGUCAUAAAUAUUCCUUCUUUUACUGGAAAUAUUGUAUGUAGACGGGCGGUAAAAUGGAGCGAGUGGGAAAAUCGUAACGAGAAUUAACUGGAUAUCUCUUGAAAUCUCGCAUGCACUUUUGAAUGUAGUCUAUACAAACGGUGCUGAUCGACCAUGAUUUGGCUGAACGCGGUAAUCAUUAUCGUUUCAAUUUCAUCACUAGUUCAUGGACACGGUUAUCUCAUUGACCGGGAUAUGAUCGCAAAACAAGAUGGUUUCAAGUUUCAUUUCCAUUCGGG